RNAcentral lists this long non-coding RNA (985 nucleotides) under Brassica napus (rape). RNAcentral's name for it is "long non-coding RNA (BNAP_LNC020774)". Lineage: Eukaryota; Viridiplantae; Streptophyta; Magnoliopsida; Brassicales; Brassicaceae. The record is from RNAcentral.
GGAUUUGUUAUCAAGCUCAACUAUAUGAAAUGAAAAUAUUAAAGAUCUUACAUUAAAUUCCCUCAGCUAGAAAUAUUGAGAAAGUGAUUUUAGAAAAGAAAAAUCAAAGAGAAAAGUCUCUUUAUUGACAAUUAAUUAUCUACAUUCAUCUCCUAUUUCCCUAAACUCAAGCCUUCAAUCUCGGCGCUAGGCCCCAAGCAUUCGGCGACCCUAUAUACACAAUAAACUCUAUUGAUUUUCCUUAUUAAUAAGAACAACCAGAGUCUCAAACACAUAGACUGGUCUCUUUUUCAUGUUCGUUUCCUGUUUUUUGCUCCUUGAUCAUCUUUUUUUUGAUAACUUUGAUUCUUUAAUUUUUUUUUCUUUAUCAAGAAUGGAGGGGAGGAAACUGAAUUUGUAUUCUCCAUUACCAUCAAUAAGGCGAAUUUCAAGUAAAACAAAGCAUUCAAGUGAAUCAGAUAACAAGACAACAGUUAUUACCAGACCAGAGCGUCGAUCAUGCCUAAGAAUAGAACAAGAAACGCCGGUUUCUGUAUUACCAGACCAGAGCUUCGAUCAUCUCUCCGAACCAGCUUCAGUUCCUUUUAUGUGGGAACAAACCCCUGGAAAACCAAAAGAUAACAUGACUACACUGAUUCAAGAAUCAGGUUUACUAGAAACUGAUGAUGAAGAAGAAGAAGAAGAUUUGUAUACAGGUUCUUCUGAUGGAACCUUCUCCGUUAACUGCAGCACAAGUGGAGUGAGUGAGAUCGAAAAGAACGUUGAGAAAGCUGACGAUGCGUCGUCUAGAGAAAGUCUCGAUCAAAUGAUGGCAAGAUUCUUACCAGCUGCUAAAGCAAUGGCUUUCACACAUCAAAAACGCUCUUCAGAGCAAAAGCAAACCCUACAAAACAGAGAAGCACUUGCAAUUCGCCAAAGAAGUCAAGUAGUCGCAGAACAUGAGCAUUUCGCUAUUGUUCAGAGUCUUUAUGAUGAUUUAAACAUU